UGGGGUGUGGCUCAAUGGUAGAGCAUUUGCCUACCAUGGGAAAGGCUCUGGGUUCCACCCCCAGCAUCUCAC
RNAcentral lists this transfer RNA (72 nucleotides) under Cricetulus griseus (Chinese hamster). It matches the Rfam family "tRNA". Rfam says of the family: Transfer RNA (tRNA) molecules are approximately 80 nucleotides in length. Their secondary structure includes four short double-helical elements and three loops (D, anti-codon, and T loops). The record is from Rfam by way of RNAcentral. Lineage: Eukaryota; Metazoa; Chordata; Mammalia; Rodentia; Cricetidae.